CCAGUGGUGGCUCACUGGGUAAAGAACCUGCCUGCAAUGCAGGAGACACAGGUUCAAUUCCUGCAUUGGA
Ovis aries (sheep) is the source of this 70-nucleotide transfer RNA. It matches the Rfam family "tRNA". From Rfam's summary of the family: Transfer RNA (tRNA) molecules are approximately 80 nucleotides in length. Their secondary structure includes four short double-helical elements and three loops (D, anti-codon, and T loops). NCBI's taxonomy places the organism in Eukaryota, Metazoa, Chordata, Mammalia, Artiodactyla, Bovidae. The record is from Rfam.